UGCAGUCGAGCGAACAGACGAGGAGCUUGCUCCUUUGACGUUAGCGGCGGACGGGUGAGUAACACGUGGGUAACCUACCUAUAAGACUGGGAUAACUUCGGGAAACCGGAGCUAAUACCGGAUAAUAUUUCGAACCGCAUGGUUCGAUAGUGAAAGAUGGCUUUGCUAUCACUUAUAGAUGGAC
Molecule: ribosomal RNA, 184 nt
Filed under: Staphylococcus hominis
Lineage: Bacteria; Bacillati; Bacillota; Bacilli; Caryophanales; Staphylococcaceae
Description: partial 16S ribosomal RNA
Rfam family: Bacterial small subunit ribosomal RNA
Source: RNAcentral